AUGCCUCCUCGGAGCCUGCUCUGUGUGCUGGUGGCCCUGGCUUGGUCUGGAUGUAAUAUGGCCCAGAAAGUGACUCAGGUUCAGUCAACAGCAAGCAGGCAGGAGGGGGAAGAAGUCACCCUGGACUGUUCAUAUGAGACAAGUCAGAACGUAUAUGAUCUUUUCUGGUACAAGCAGCUUCAUAGUGGAGAGAUGGUUUUCCUUAUCCGCCAACCUUUUUUUGAUUCUCAGAACCAGAGGAGCGGCCGCUAUUCUGUAGUCUUCCAGAAAUCACUCAAGUCCAUCAGCCUUGUCAUUUCAGCCUCUCGACCAGAGGAUUUGGGGAAGUAUUUCUGUGCUCUCAGUGAAUUGACACAGUGUUUGAAGUGA
Molecule: non-coding RNA, 369 nt
Organism: Rattus rattus (black rat)
Lineage: Eukaryota; Metazoa; Chordata; Mammalia; Rodentia; Muridae
Source: the annotation of a RefSeq genome assembly